UACAGAGGGUGCGAGCGUUGUUCGGAAUUACUGGGCGUAAAGCGCGCGCAGGCGGCUCUUUAAGUCUACCCGUGAAAUGCCGGAGCUCAACCCCGUGCACGCCGGGGGAUACUGGAGAGCUGGAGACAUGUAGAGGCAAGCGGAAUUCCGGGUGUAGCGGUGGAAUGCGUAGAGAUCCGGAAGAACACCGGAGGCGAAGGCGGCUUGCUGGGCUUGGUCUGACGCUGAGGCGCGAAAGCGUGGGGAGCGAACAGG
RNAcentral lists this ribosomal RNA (255 nucleotides) under uncultured bacterium. RNAcentral describes it as "partial 16S ribosomal RNA". It matches the Rfam family "Bacterial small subunit ribosomal RNA", at positions 524 to 776 of the family's 1533-position model. The record is from RNAcentral.